Molecule: long non-coding RNA, 540 nt
Organism: Zingiber officinale
Lineage: Eukaryota; Viridiplantae; Streptophyta; Magnoliopsida; Zingiberales; Zingiberaceae
Exons: 2
Source: RefSeq, a predicted model, not a curated record
CUCCACAACCCAAUCGUUCCGCCUCCUCACGCGCUAUCAAGCCUCGACGGAUCUACAUCCUCGCGGCGGAGAGAGUGCGGCGUCGGAGCUGGCAGUCGAUUUCCACCGUGUGGAGCAAAUCGAACAGGAGAUUGCGAGCAUUCAGCAACGGAUGCUGGGGAAAACGUGGACACGCAGUGGAAGCCGCAGGGGUUUCGGGGAGGAUGAGGAAACACAAGAGCAGGCAACUGUAUCUACUGUGAUAAUUUGAUAUCUAUGGGGUAUAGAGGGGUGGAGAAACCUAAGGAAGGUGAGGAUGUGUCUCUCGACACGAUGGAGGGCCUACGGACGGAGUAGGCGGGAUGGAUGCAUGGCGUUGUCCGGAUAUUAGAAGUGGUGAGCUUAUGUUCCUCAUGGGAAGGGUUUUUGUUUUGGUGAGGUCAAGGGUUUUUGAUCGGGAUUUUCUUUGUUAUACUUUGUGAGAGAUGUUGGCUUUUAUUUUCGAUAAAAUAGAACGUUUGAUUUGGUAUCAUGUCAUAAGUAUAUGCUUGGUUUUUGUUU